UUUGCAAAAAUUAAGUUUCAGCCCCUAAAAUGACAUGCCUUGCUGCCCAUUCUCACAGCCCCAGGAAGCAAUAUAGUUCCGAAUGCUAUUUGCUGGGAAGCAGCUUCUGCUUGUGGGCUUCUUGCAGACAUUGGAUGUCCACAGUGAGAACAGGAGGCUGGACCAGAUGGGACAUGGGCCUGAUCCAGCAGAGCUUUUCUUAUGUCCUUAAUCUUUGCCUGCUGAUGAUCCCAAGUUCAGUGCCUAGUUAUCCUCUCUUAAAAGGACCCAAGACUUGCAACCCUAACCACAUUGGCCUGGGAGUAAGCCCCCUGGAAUUGAUAGGAUUUACUUCUAAGCAGACAUGGUUAGGGACGGGGGUGGCGCUGUGGGUUAAACCACAGAGCCUAGGACUUGCCGAUCAGAAGGUCGGCGGUUCGAAUCCCCAUGACCGGGUGAGCUCCCGUUGCUCGGUCCCUGCUCCUGCCAACCUAGCAGUUCAAAAGCAUGUCAAAUUGCAAGUAGAUAAAUAGGUACCACUCCGGCGGGAAGGUAAACGGCGUUUCCGUGUGCUGCUCUGGUUCACCAGAAGCGGCUUAGUCAUGCUGGCCACAUGACCCGGAAGCUGUACACUAGCUCCCUCGGCCAAUAAAGCGAGAUGAGCGCCGCAACCCCAGAGUCGGCCACGACUGGACCUAAUGGUCAGGGGUCCCUUUACCUUUACCUUUAGACAUGGUUAGGAACGUGUUGUUCAGUAGUAAGUCAGGGCAAAGACCUCCUGACUGAGAUAAGACAACUCAUCUAACUUUAACAAUUCCUUCAGUACUGUUACUUUCCUUUUCCAUUUGUGGUUCCAUAAAGAAUGGGGUUUUAGCAGGUGAUAUUUCUCAAACACUUGCAGCCGUGAGUAAUAUGUCAAGGUGCAAAUGCUAAAAUUCUUGCCUCGAUGCAGUUAUUAAAGAUAUAGAGCCCUAUGUCUAAAAGGAUAUUUGUCCAUUCUGCAUUGAAGGUCCCAGCCGUGCUGAGAGAUAGGUCGGCUUUUAUAAUGGGCCUACUAAAGAUUCCAGUGACUUCAGCUGCCAAUCAGCUGAUUACAAAUCAGCCUUGUGAGGAAUGACAAUAAAGCCGUUGCAGGAAGGAAUAUAUUUAUGAGCAAGAUCGGAAUGGCGAAAGCAGUAGGGAGUGAGGCAUGCGUGUUGAGGUUGCUGGUUUGAAGUGUGUGUAUUUUGGAAGCAAGAACUGCUGUUUCAACUGAGCUGAUCUUGUCAUAAUAAUAUUAAUAAAAACAUAGUGGUGAAGGCUUUUUCUUUUGUUUUUAAAACUGGCAUUCCAAAUGGAAAUUUCCAUGCAGAAAUAUGUUUGUUGUGAAAGGGAUUAUUUACAUACCCUAAAAGAGGAAGAGAAAGAGUUAGGUACUAGUUUUAUGAUGUGAAAAUCCCUAUCAAUAUUAGUAUCAUAAUUUAAAUACCUCUGAUGUGCCUCCACCCCCCGGCAAGGAAAAAUAAUUCACAUUUCCAUUUUUUUAUUGAAUUGACUUCUUUUAUGUUAAUACAAGUGGUUGUUUUAGUCAGCUAGCCUUCAUCUGCCCCAGCUGCAACAAAACAUGUCUCUCCCUUAUCAGUCUUUUCAGCCACAGCAGGUGCUGUGAUCUUCCAACAGUUUGACUUCACCCUCAAAGGUGUACUCCUCCAUUGUCUCCCAAGACAGACGGAUGCCAACCAGCUGGAAGAGAAAACAAGGACUGGAGUUGGGGUUGCUUUGCAUCUCCUCUCCACCAAAUGUCUGAGCCUCCUUCUGUGCCUUUAACAGCAGCUUUAUCUGUAAAAAAUAAGCAGGCAAAGCCUUUCAUGGCCAGGAGAUGAGAAUGACCAACCAACUUCUGAAGAUCUGAACCAUUUCGAAAGAAUGGCCAAGACUGGCCUGGAUAGCAAAAUGCUACCUGAGCACAGCUGAAGACUCUUAUUUAGAAAAAAUAUUUCUGAUUCAUAAAGCUUUUCUUUUUGGAUGAACAAUAAGAGCACCUUUAAGAGCUGCAUGACAGGCAGAUUUUUAAUAGGUUCAGUUGUUCUGUGCAGAGAAAGCUGCAUAUGUUGAUUUCCCCCCUGUUAUGGGCUGAAUAAGAGCCAAACAUACAACAUUCCUGAUUUCUGUCCACCCUUGUAGCCACCCUUUGAGUCAUUUCUGAUUUGCCAACAUCCUUCUUAGAGUCUGGUGAAUACAGUUCACAGGAUAUGAUCUUGUACCUGGGCUGACCAAAUUAGUCCCUUGUCUCCCAGGUUCUGUCAAAAUCUCAGUAAUUCACUGGACACACCUGCUAGAUCACAGCCUCACCCUGUGCACAUCCAGUAUAAUAAGCAAUUAUGUUUAGGAGGAUGCACUCCAAUUUUGGGUCAUCCCCCCCCCCCCAGAAUUGCUUUUACUUCUGAUUGCUUUAUACUUGAAUCUAUUAGCUAUUCUGCCUGUCCAGUACCUCCAAUUCUCUUUAUUGGCAAUUAUCUAUGAAGGAGGUUGCUUGUUUUCUGUCUAAUACAGCUCCCCUGUCUUCCAGGCAUGAUGUAGGGUUUAUUUCAACAGUGUCUGGAAAGAUGUUCUAUGAUGUGUUGAGGACACUGUGAGAUUGAAAGCGCUUUGAUCUCUUUUUUCAAGUUGAUUAUGAAGAAUGGGAUGGAAACGCUGCCUUCUGCCCUUUGCCCAACGUCCCUGCAGUGAGGGAUUCUCUUGCUUGUUAAGACUCUUAAAAGGAAUCGUCUCAUCUCCCUUCAUGUUGACAGUUUUCUCCCUAUUCAGGGAGAGGGGAAGCAGUGCUGCCUGGGAGUUGCAGGAACCCACUUUGUGAGACUUUCUGAUACCAGGAGGUUGCUGAAAGCUGCAACUACUUUGGCACUCUAAUUUCAUUUUGGAGUUAUCAGUUUGGAUAGCUCCUUUGUGACCCACUUUUCAAGGAGAAGGAUCUUUGCUCAGUGGUAGAGCAUCUGUCUUGCAAAUAGGAGGUCCCAGAUUCAGUCCCCAGCAUCUACAAAUAGGAUGGGGAGAAUCUCAUCUGAAAUCUUAGGCAGACACUGUCACACAGUGUGGGCAAUACAGAGCUAGUUGGAUAGUCCUACCUGGGCAGUUAUCUUUCCACAAGGGUAGACAUUGAUGCUGAAAUCCAGCAUCGCCUGAGCUCUGCAAGUGCAGCUUUCUCCCGAUUGAAGUGCAGAGUGUUUGAGGACCGGGACAUUCACAGGUACACCAAAAUGCUUCUUUACAAAACUAUUGUACUACCAACCUUACUGUAUGCUUGGGAAAUGUGGGCCACUUAUAAACGCCUUCCCCAACUCCUCGUAAGAUUCCAUCAAUGGUGUCUCCGGAAUUUUUUACACAUCACUUGGGAAGACAGGAGAACCAAUGCCAGUGUACUGGAAGAAGCAAAUAUCACCAGUGUCAAAGCAAUGAUUCUUCAACAUCAACUUCGUUGGACUGGUCAUGUUGUGCGGAUGCCUGAUUAUCAUCUUCCAAAGCUACUACUCUAUUCUGAACUUAAAAAUGGAAAGCGUAAUGCUGGUGGUCAACAAAAGAGGUUCAAAGACUCUCUCAAGGCAAAUCUAAAGAAAUGUAGUAUAAACACUGACAACUGGGAAACACUGGCCUGUGAGUGUUCCAAUUGGAGAACAGCUUUUACCAAAGGUGUCAUGGGUUUUGAAGACACUUGAACUCAGAGCGAAAAGGAGAAAUGCGCUAAGAGGAAGGCACACUUGGCAAACCAUGAUCAACUCCCACCCGGAAACCUAUGUCCCCACUGUGGAAGGAUGUGUGGAUCCAGAAUUGGCCUCCACAGUCACUUACAGACUCAUUGAUAAAACCGUGUUUAUGGAAGACAAUCUUACUCAGCUACUAGUGAUUUCCAAAGAAGAAGAAGAUGGAUAGUCUGACUGCAUUUAAGGUAGCUCCCUAUGUUCCUAAAAUAUCCCUUCAAAAGUUUGAACUCUCCUCUAAAACAUAUUCUACCUAGCAACCCAACUUUCAUUUUCACGACUUCACAGCUACAUUCUCGCCAUGUCAUUGAUGCCAGUGGCUCUGAAUCCUCUUUAGCGCUAUACGCUAGGCUAUUUAGGUAGAUCCUCAACCUUGCAUGGGGCAGGCAAUUCACCCUAUUCCUUGGCUGCCCAUCACACAUUCAGCUGCCUCAAUUCCUAAUGGUCAAAUCGCCCACGACCAGGAUCCUUCCACCUGCCUCUUGAUUCCACACUGACAAAGGAACAGCAACUUCAACUUUAGCUGAGGGCAUCAUGCUGGUUUAGGGGUUCCUGACAGAGGAGAAUGCCCACGGCUUCAGGGGCAAUGGCUGGUGGGAGGUUGGUGCUGCAAUUGCCUCCCUCUGCCUGAUUCUGGACUCAGGCAUGAUGCCCUCCCUGUCUCUGGUAACAUGUGAGAAAUGGGAGAGACAGCUCAGGAUAAAGCAGCACCUUAUGUCAAGCCAGACCAUAGGUCAAUAUUCCAGGCAGAGCAUUUUCUAAUUCAACUGGUAAGAGCUUCCCAAGAUAUUAAAAAUACAUGUUUCUGAACUCUGCUUCCUGAUAUUUAUUUUUAUGUAUUUAUUUGCUUUUCUUACAUUCAUACCACACCUUUCUUCCAUCAUGCACAUGUGUAGCUUCCAAGUGGUCUCCCAUCCAGGGACUGACCAGUCGUGGUCCUGCUUAGCUUUGGCAAAGUGGUGGCCUCAUGU
Long non-coding RNA from Podarcis raffonei (Aeolian wall lizard), 4684 nucleotides. RefSeq lists it as uncharacterized. The record is from RefSeq and is a predicted model, not a curated record. NCBI's taxonomy places the organism in Eukaryota, Metazoa, Chordata, Lepidosauria, Squamata, Lacertidae. The transcript has 2 exons.